ACGGGUGAGUAACGCGUGGGAACGUACCUUUUGGUUCGGAACAACACAGGGAAACUUGUGCUAAUACCGGAUAAGCCCUUACGGGGAAAGAUUUAUCGCCGAAAGAUCGGCCCGCGUCUAAUUAGCUAGUUGGUGAGGUAAUGGCUCACCAAGGCGACGAUCAGUAGCUGGUCUGAGAGGAUGAUCAGCCACACUGGGACUGAGACACGGCCCAGACUCCUACGGGAGGCAGCAGUGGGGAAUAUUGGACAAUGGGCGCAAGCCUGAUCCAGCCAUGCCGCGUGAGUGAUGAAGGCCCUAGGGUUGUAAGGCUCUUUUGUGCGGGAAGAUAAUGACGGUACCGCAAGAAUAAGCCCCGGCUAACUUCGUGCCAGCAGCCGCGGUAAUACGAAGGGGGCUAGCGUUGCUCGGAAUCACUGGGCGUAAAGGGUGCGUAGGCGGGUCUUUAAGUCAGGGGUGAAAUCCUGGAGCUCAACUCCAGAACUGCCUUUGAUACUGAAGAUCUUGAGUUCGGGAGAGGUGAGUGGAACUGCGAGU
RNAcentral lists this ribosomal RNA (537 nucleotides) under uncultured bacterium. RNAcentral describes it as "bacterial SSU rRNA". It matches the Rfam family "Bacterial small subunit ribosomal RNA", at positions 102 to 674 of the family's 1533-position model. The record is from RNAcentral.